This is a long non-coding RNA of Ailuropoda melanoleuca (giant panda), 444 nucleotides long. RefSeq lists it as uncharacterized. NCBI's taxonomy places the organism in Eukaryota, Metazoa, Chordata, Mammalia, Carnivora, Ursidae. The record is from RefSeq and is a predicted model, not a curated record. The transcript has 4 exons.
AGAAAAAAAAAGAAUAAGCCAGUAUCUAGUCAGUGUAUCUACAGAAUUGUUUUUACAGUCUACUAAACAUGUGGCGACUUCUCUGAGAGGACUGACAACUCUGUUACUCCAGAGGCGCUGGAUUCUUAAAAUUCAAGAAGGUACAGCCCUCGGCCUGGCUGGAAACCAUCCUUCUCCACUCAGUCCUGAAAACAUACCUGUCCUGCCAACCACGAUCCCCUAAGCCGACUGCACUCCUGACGGGGCACAGAAAGACGGGCUAACAGCUGGGGACCUAACAUACCAGCAGAGAAAUGCAGACUGUCUGCCUGGCUGUUUCCCAGUUUCAGGAGUACCACGGAAUGACUCAACAAUCUGGUCUAUUCCUCAGUGCCUCAGCAUGAUGAAGUGUAGAAAAGGAUUCGUUUUUAACACAAGACAACCCCUUUACAACCUCAAGCUCUA